RNAcentral lists this small nucleolar RNA (139 nucleotides) under Ochotona princeps (American pika). Its description in RNAcentral is "Small nucleolar RNA SNORA74 (ENSOPRG00000022646.1)". Lineage: Eukaryota; Metazoa; Chordata; Mammalia; Lagomorpha; Ochotonidae. The record is from RNAcentral.
CCAUGCCGUAGGCAACUGUCUGGGUUGCCUUUUACCCAGGCAAGUGUCACACUGCAGGGAGAAAAGCAGCCAGGAGCUGGCGGACACUCUGGGCCUGGUUAGUGCCAAAUGUGUGUUAACUACACCAGUGUCCAGAACA